RNAcentral lists this unclassified non-coding RNA (742 nucleotides) under Hevea brasiliensis (rubber tree). Lineage: Eukaryota; Viridiplantae; Streptophyta; Magnoliopsida; Malpighiales; Euphorbiaceae. The record is from RNAcentral.
AAAAAUUUAAAAAUUAUUUGCCUAUUUCAAUUGUCCAAUUUUAGGGUUUUUUUUCCCAAUGAGAUUCAGUUACUAUUGAAUUUUAUUUAUUUAUUAUAUAGAAAGGCUAAUAAUUACAGUAAUACUGACACCAUGAGCUAUAAAUAUUUUUAUUUUUUAGAAGUUUUGUAAAUUUUAGGAGGUAAAAAAUGUAAUAUAAAAGAUUUUAUUUAGUAAUUUAGUAUAAUUUUUUUAGUUUAUACUUUGGAGGGGCCAAAUUUAAUUUUUCUCCAUAAUUAAAUGCAUUUUUAUUUUUUUAAUACUACAAAAAUUUUAAAACUUUCCGGGAUUGGAGGCCUGGCUCCCUAGGCAAGUGGCAGCAGAAAAUUUCCUUGGCACUAGGGAUGUGCAAUCAAUCAGUUUAGUUUCGAACCAAAUUCAACUGAAAAAACUGAAAUUCAAAUUCAUUAAAAGAACCAAACUGAACCAAACAGAAAAAUUCAAUUCGGUUAUCCAAUUCGAUUCUGCUUAGUUUAGAACAUAAGCAAAUUUUAGCCCAAUUACAACAGAGAAAGAGAAACAGAACAGAAGUAAAUUUGCUAAACUUCUAAAAAAACUCAUUUACAUUUUCUAGGCACAAACCAUCCUCAUAAGUUGCAAAAAACAAUUUUAAAUAUCACUCAUCUCAGUUAUCCAUCUUAAACCAAAAGACUAAUACAGUUUACAACUAAACUUUUUGACUCAGAUAAGAACAUAAAUAAGG